This 1422-nucleotide ribosomal RNA is filed under the name uncultured bacterium. RNAcentral describes it as "bacterial SSU rRNA". It matches the Rfam family "Bacterial small subunit ribosomal RNA". The record is from RNAcentral.
GAGUUUGAUCAUGGCUCAGGAUGAACGCUAGCUACAGGCUUAACACAUGCAAGUCGAGGGGAAACGGCAUUUAGUGCUUGCACCGAAUGGACGUCGACCGGCGCACGGGUGAGUAACGCGUAUCCAACCUUCCCAUGACUAAGGGAUAACCUGCCGAAAGGCAGACUAAUACCUUAUGUAAUCCUUUGAUGGCAUCAGAUAAGGAUAAAAGAUUUAUCGGUUAUGGAUGGGGAUGCGUCUGAUUAGCUUGUUGGCGGGGUAACGGCCCACCAAGGCAACGAUCAGUAGGGGUUCUGAGAGGAAGGUCCCCCACAUUGGAACUGAGACACGGUCCAAACUCCUACGGGAGGCAGCAGUGAGGAAUAUUGGUCAAUGGACGGAAGUCUGAACCAGCCAAGUAGCGUGCAGGAUGACGGCCCUAUGGGUUGUAAACUGCUUUUGUAUGGGGAUAAAGUCAAUCACGUGUGAUUGUUUGCAGGUACCAUACGAAUAAGGACCGGCUAAUUCCGUGCCAGCAGCCGCGGUAAUACGGAAGGUUCGGGCGUUAUCCGGAUUUAUUGGGUUUAAAGGGAGCGUAGGCCGGAGAUUAAGUGUGUUGUGAAAUGUAGACGCUCAACGUCUGACUUGCAGCGCAUACUGGUUUCCUUGAGUACGCACAACGUUGGCGGAAUUCGUCGUGUAGCGGUGAAAUGCUUAGAUAUGACGAAGAACUCCGAUUGCGAAGGCAGCUGACGGGAGCGCAACUGACGCUGAAGCUCGAAGGUGCGGGUAUCGAACAGGAUUAGAUACCCUGGUAGUCCGCACAGUAAACGAUGGAUGCCCGCUGUUGGUACCUGGUAUCAGCGGCUAAGCGAAAGCAUUAAGCAUCCCACCUGGGGAGUACGCCGGCAACGGUGAAAACUCAAAAGGAAAUUGACGGGGGCCCGCACGAAGCGGAGGAAACAUGUGGUUUAAAUUCGAUGAUACGCGAGGAAACCUUACCCGGGCUUGAAUUGCAGAGGAAGGAUUUAGAGAUAAAUGACGCCCUUCGGGGUCUCUGUGAAGGUGCUGCAUGGUUGUCGUCAGCUCGUGCCGUGAGGUGUCGGCUUAAGUGCCAUAACGAGCGCGAACCCCUCUCUUCAGUUGCCAUCAGGUUAAGCUGGGCACUCUGGAGACGACUGCCACCGUAAGGUGUGAGGAAGGUGGGGAUGACGUCAAAUCAGCGCGGCCCUUACGUUCCGGGGCUACGCACGUGUUACGAAUGGCCGGUACGGAAGGGACGGUGUGAAUGUGAAAUUGCGUCGAAUUCUUGAAAAGCCGGUUCCCGGUUCGGAACUGGGGUUCUGCGACCCGACCCCGCGAAGGCUGGAUUCGCGUAGGAAUCGCGCGCGCGGCCGAUAGCGCGGUAAGACGUUUCCCGGGCCUUGUGCGCACUGCCCGGCA